GACGAACGCUGGCGGCGUGCUUAACACAUGCAAGUCGAACGAUGAAGCCUAGCUUGCUAGGUGGAUUAGUGGCGAACGGGUGAGUAAUACGUGAGUAACCUACCUUUAACUCUGGGAUAAGCCUGGGAAACUGGGUCUAAUACCGGAUACGACCAAUCUCCGCAUGGGGUGUUGGUGGAAAGCGUUAUGUAGUGGUUAUAGAUGGGCUCACGGCCUAUCAGCUUGUUGGUGAGGUAACGGCUCACCAAGGCGACGACGGGUAGCCGGCCUGAGAGGGUGACCGGCCACACUGGGACUGAGACACUGCCCAUACUCCUACGGGAGGCAGCAGUGGGGAAUUUUGCACAAUGGGCGCAAGCCUGAUGCUGCGACGCCUUGUGAGGGAUGACGGCCUUCGGUGUGUAAACCUCUUUUAGCAGGGUUGAAGAGAGAUUGGCGGUACCUGGCUAGAAUGCGCUGGGUAACUACGUGCCAGCUGGCUCGGUGGACGUAGGGUGGGAGCGUUUGUGCUGAAUGUAUUGGUGUUAAGAUCUUGUUGUCGUUUUGUCUCUUCUGUGGCAUAUGCGUGGCUGAGUUGCUUGUGUGUGUGUGGUUACGGGGGUCGUUAAGUGGAUUGGUUGGGAUUGAAUGCUGGGGGUGUCGGUGGUGGAUGUGGUUUGUGAAAUGUGCUGUUGGUGAUGUUGUUUCUGUGCUGUGUCUGUGUUGGUUGGUUUUUGUGUGAGUGUGUGUGUUGAUGCUGGUGAUGUGUUGGAUUGUGUUUUGGUGUGUGUUUGUGUGUUUUGUGUGUGUGUCGGUGUGGUGUGUUGUGCGUCUGAGUGUGAUGAUGUGAUGAGUUGCUAGGUGUAGUGGCCUUGGGUUGGUGCUCGCUUGU
Molecule: ribosomal RNA, 871 nt
Filed under: uncultured Haemophilus sp.
Lineage: Bacteria; Pseudomonadati; Pseudomonadota; Gammaproteobacteria; Pasteurellales; Pasteurellaceae
Description: bacterial SSU rRNA
Rfam family: Bacterial small subunit ribosomal RNA (bases 4-505)
Source: RNAcentral